UACGGGGGGGGCAAGCGUUGUUCGGAAUUACUGGGCGGAAAGGGCGCGUAGGCGGUUCGCUAAGUUGGAUGUGAAAACUCUGGGCUCAACCCAGAGCCUGCAUCCAAAACUGGCGGGCUAGAGUUCUGGAGGGGGUAGCGGAAUUCCUGGUGUAGCGGUGAAAUGCGUAGAUAUCAGGAGGAACACCGGUGGCGAAGGCGGCUACCGGGACAGAAACUGACGCUGAGGCGCGAAAGCUAGGGGAGCAAACAGG
Molecule: ribosomal RNA, 253 nt
Filed under: uncultured bacterium
Lineage: Bacteria
Description: partial 16S ribosomal RNA
Rfam family: Bacterial small subunit ribosomal RNA
Source: RNAcentral